UAUCAAACUCCACCAUCAAUUAUGAGCGAAGGGAAAGGACUUGGAUCAAACACGAAAAAACUUCCGCUCACUCUUGGCAACGAAAUCUCAAAAUCAUCCAGCAUUGGUCGCCGUUCGACAACUACGAAGAUCUCCUUUGUCAGGACGUACAAAUUCGAGGAGCCAGCCGAGACGAGAGCCAGAUAGAGAAUGCAGCAGUAUAUGAGAUUCCACCCGGAUUUCGGAUUGUCUUACGGGGCAUCGAUGUUCAGCAUCAAGAUAUAAUCGACGAUAUGAUUUACCCCCAAGAGAUGCAUUACAAACCAGCAGCGUCGAAAGAUCCGAAGGUUUGGAACCCAGCUGGAAGCCACGGCAGAGGAGUCGUCGGUGUCCUCGAAGCGAACUUUGUCGAUCCGGCGCACGAUAAACAAGGAUUCGAGCGAACGACCACCCUGUCUCAGCUUGAGUCAAGACUUAAGUCCAACCAGAAAAACUCAUGGUUUCUCAUCUUGCUCAAAGUUCACUUUGAUUCGGUUCAAACUGCCGGUUUCAAUUUUUAGGUCGAUUUAUACUUUCUGCAGGUCCCGAAAUUGCCAUCUCGACUGGAUACUGACAAGAUUAGCGGUAUCAAAUUUCUGCAUUCAUCUAAGUGGACUGAUCGACGCUGGAUUUGGGGAGGAGACAUCUUUCUUGUUCGGACCUAUGUUGACGGUGACAAAUUUAGGAGGGCUAAUAAUUUUCGUAAACCCUACAGGUUGACACAUCCAAUUAAGAAAAGAAAAUGGAUAACAUGCCGGGACGGAUGAGAGAAGACGCCUUUUUCUCGGACCCCAGGUAUUGCCUCGAGGAACCCCACGAAGCUGUUUGGAUUGAUGCACCAGAAGAUAAUUCUGUUCUUGAGGGAUCUUCUUAGCUAGUAGGUAACAAGUUGUAAUUUUGUUGGAUCAUAGUCAUUGUUUGUACUUAAUUCAACAUCGGAACGAAGUUGUUUGGAUUGAUGCACCGGAAGACAAUUAUGUUCUUGAGGGAUCUUCUUUGCUAGUAGGUAACAAGUUGUAAUUUUAUGGGAUCAUAGUCAUUGUUUGUACUUAAUUCAACAUUGGAAAGGAUAGGGUUUUGAUUUUUUGUGGUCGACCUACUGAUUGUAAGUAUUUUGUUUGUCCAAAGCAAACCAAUUACGCAAAGGGGAUAUAUUGAUAUUUCGAUUGAUUGACACUUGCAAGUAUGAAUUUUAAUUGUUUCUAACCUCAAUAUAUAUAUAUAUGUUCUCAUAGGUAAGAUAAUUUGCUUGAUUGGUAAGUAAAUUAUGGAUGGAUUUUUGCA
Molecule: long non-coding RNA, 1302 nt
Organism: Andrographis paniculata
Lineage: Eukaryota; Viridiplantae; Streptophyta; Magnoliopsida; Lamiales; Acanthaceae
Exons: 3
Source: RefSeq, a predicted model, not a curated record